This 2909-nucleotide ribosomal RNA is filed under the name Enterococcus faecium. RNAcentral describes it as "23S ribosomal RNA". It matches the Rfam family "Bacterial large subunit ribosomal RNA". The record is from RNAcentral. Lineage: Bacteria; Bacillati; Bacillota; Bacilli; Lactobacillales; Enterococcaceae.
UUAAGUGAAUAAGGGCGCACGGUGGAUGCCUUGGCACUAGGAGCCGAUGAAGGACGGGACUAACACCGAUAUGCUUUGGGGAGCUGUACGUAAGCUAUGAUCCAGAGAUUUCCGAAUGGGGGAACCCAACAUCUUUAAUAGGAUGUUACGAUUGUGUGAAUACAUAGCACAUUCGAGGUAGACGCAGAGAACUGAAACAUCUAAGUACCUGCAGGAAGAGAAAGAAAAUUCGAUUCCCUGAGUAGCGGCGAGCGAAACGGGAAAAGCCCAAACCAGCAAGCUUGCUUGUUGGGGUUGUAGGACUCCAAUAUGGUAGUUCUUUCAGAUAGUCGAAUGACUUGGAAAAGUCAGUCAAAGAGGGUAAAAACCCCGUAGACGAAAUGUGGAAGACACCUAGGAGGAUCCUGAGUACGGCGGAACACGAGAAAUUCCGUCGGAAUCCGGGAGGACCAUCUCCCAAGGCUAAAUACUCCCUAGUGACCGAUAGUGAACCAGUACCGUGAGGGAAAGGUGAAAAGCACCCCGGAAGGGGAGUGAAAUAGAACCUGAAACCGUGGAGAACACCGCGUUGAAUUUGAAAGCUGAACAAAUUGUUUAGCCUAAAGCAAAAUAGGCGGACGGCUAUAAAAUCUUUGAUUUUAAGUUGAAGAGACGGAGCCGCAGCGAAAGCGAGUCUGAAUAGGGCGUUUGAGUAUGUAGUCGUAGACCCGAAACCAUGUGAUCUACCCAUGUCCAGGUUGAAGGUGCGGUAAAACGCACUGGAGGACCGAACCCACGUACGUUGAAAAGUGCGGGGAUGAGGUGUGGGUAGCGGAGAAAUUCCAAACGAACUUGGAGAUAGCUGGUUCUCUCCGAAAUAGCUUUAGGGCUAGCCUCGGAAUUGAGAAUGAUGGAGGUAGAGCACUGUUUGGACUAGGGGCCCAUCUCGGGUUACCGAAUUCAGAUAAACUCCGAAUGCCAUUCAUUCAUAUCCGGGAGUCAGACUGUGAGUGAUAAGAUCCAUAGUCGAAAGGGAAACAGCCCAGACCACCAGCUAAGGUCCCAAAAUAUAUGUUAAGUGGAAAAGGAUGUGGGGUUGCACAGACAACUAGGAUGUUGGCUUAGAAGCAGCCAUCAUUUAAAGAGUGCGUAAUAGCUCACUAGUCGAGUGACCCUGCGCCGAAAAUGUACCGGGGCUAAACAUAUUACCGAAGCUGUGGAGUACACCUUUAGGUGUAUUGGUAGGAGAGCGUUCUAAGGGCGUCGAAGGCAGAUCGUGAGGACUGCUGGAGCGCUUAGAAGUGAGAAUGCCGGUAUGAGUAGCGAAAGACAGGUGAGAAUCCUGUCCACCGAAUGACUAAGGUUUCCUGGGGAAGGCUCGUCCGCCCAGGGUUAGUCGGGACCUAAGCCGAGGCCGACAGGCGUAGGCGAUGGAUAACAGGUUGAUAUUCCUGUACCCGUUGUUUUUGUUUGAGCAAUGGAGGGACGCAGGAGGCUAAGGAAUGCAGACGAUCGGAAAUGUCUGUCCAAGCAGUAAGUCUGAAGAGGAGUUAAAUGCUUCUUUUCUUAAGGACAAGCUGUGAUGGGGAGGGAAAUAAUAGUACCGAAGUUCCUGAUGUCACACUGCCGAGAAAAGCUUCUAGUGAGAAAACAGCGGCCCGUACCGCAAACCGACACAGGUAGUCGAGGAGAGAAUCCUAAGGUGAGCGAGAGAACUCUCGUUAAGGAACUCGGCAAAAUGACCCCGUAACUUCGGGAGAAGGGGUGCUGAUCAUACGAUCAGCCGCAGUGAAUAGGCCCAAGCGACUGUUUAUCAAAAACACAGGUCUCUGCAAAAUCGUAAGAUGAAGUAUAGGGGCUGACGCCUGCCCGGUGCUGGAAGGUUAAGAGGAGUGCUUAGCGCAAGCGAAGGUACGAAUUGAAGCCCCAGUAAACGGCGGCCGUAACUAUAACGGUCCUAAGGUAGCGAAAUUCCUUGUCGGGUAAGUUCCGACCCGCACGAAAGGCGUAACGAUUUGGGCACUGUCUCAACGAGAGACUCGGUGAAAUUUUAGUACCUGUGAAGAUGCAGGUUACCCGCGACAGGACGGAAAGACCCCAUGGAGCUUUACUGUAGUUUGAUAUUGAGUGUCUGUACCGCAUGUACAGGAUAGGUAGGAGCCGUAGAAAUCGGAACGCUAGUUUCGAUGGAGGCGCGACAGGCGUAGGCGAUGGAUAACAGGUUGAUAUUCCUGUACCCGUUGUUUUUGUUUGAGCAAUGUGUCAGAUGGGCAGUUUGACUGGGGCGGUCGCCUCCUAAAAGGUAACGGAGGCGCCCAAAGGUUCCCUCAGAAUGGUUGGAAAUCAUUCGAAGAGUGUAAAGGCAGAAGGGAGCUUGACUGCGAGACCAACAAGUCGAGCAGGGACGAAAGUCGGGCUUAGUGAUCCGGUGGUUCCGCAUGGAAGGGCCAUCGCUCAACGGAUAAAAGCUACCCUGCCUAAGGUGAGCGAGAGAACUCUCGUUAAGGAACUCGACGGGGAGGUUUGGCACCUCGAUGUCGGCUCGUCGCAUCCUGGGGCUGUAGUCGGUCCCAAGGGUUGGGCUGUUCGCCCAUUAAAGCGGCACGCGAGCUGGGUUCAGAACGUCGUGAGACAGUUCGGUCCCUAUCCGUCGCGGGCGUUGGAAAUUUGAGAGGAGCUGUCCUUAGUACGAGAGGACCGGGAUGGACUUACCGCUGGUGUACCAGUUGUUCUGCCAAGGGCAUUGCUGGGUAGCUAUGUAGGGAAGGGAUAAACGCUGAAAGCAUCUAAGUGUGAAGCCCACCUCAAGAUGAGAUUUCCCAUUUCUUUAAGAAAGUAAGAUCCCUGAGAGAUGAUCAGGUAGAUAGGUCAGGAGUGGAAGUACAGUGAUGUAUGGAGCGGACUGAUACUAAUCGAUCGAGGACUUAACC